GAAUAUUGCGCAAUGGCCGCAAGGCUGACGCAGCGACGCCGCGUGGAGGAUGAAGCCCCUCGGGGUGUAAACUCCUGUUGCUCGGGACGAACCAUGGGUUUCGACCCAUCUGACGGUACCGAGUGAGGAAGCACCGGCUAACUUCGUGCCAGCAGCCGCGGUAAUACGAAGGGUGCAAGCGUUACUCGGAAUUACUGGGCGUAAAGCGUGCGUAGGUGGUUUGUUAAGUCUGAUGUGAAAGCCCUGGGCUCAACCUGGGAAUGGCAUUGGAUACUGGCAGGCUAGAGUGCGGUAGAGGGUAGUGGAAUUCCCGGUGUAGCAGUGAAAUGCGUAGAGAUCGGGAGGAACAUCUGUGGCGAAGGCGACUACCUGGACCAGCACUGACACUGAGGCACGAAAGCGUGGGGAGCAAACAG
RNAcentral lists this ribosomal RNA (416 nucleotides) under uncultured bacterium. RNAcentral's name for it is "bacterial SSU rRNA". It matches the Rfam family "Bacterial small subunit ribosomal RNA", at positions 359 to 775 of the family's 1533-position model. The record is from RNAcentral.